This 1225-nucleotide ribosomal RNA is filed under the name Staphylococcus aureus. RNAcentral describes it as "partial 23S ribosomal RNA". It matches the Rfam family "Bacterial large subunit ribosomal RNA", at positions 222 to 1451 of the family's 2925-position model. Lineage: Bacteria; Bacillati; Bacillota; Bacilli; Caryophanales; Staphylococcaceae. The record is from RNAcentral.
AAAGAAAAUUCGAUUCCCUUAGUAGCGGCGAGCGAAACGGGAAGAGCCCAAACCAACAAGCUUGCUUGUUGGGGUUGUAGGACACUCUAUACGGAGUUACAAAGGACGACAUUAGACGAAUCAUCUGGAAAGAUGAAUCAAAGAAGGUAAUAAUCCUGUAGUCGAAAAUGUUGUCUCUCUUGAGUGGAUCCUGAGUACGACGGAACACGUGAAAUUCCGUCGGAAUCUGGGAGGACCAUCUCCUAAGGCUAAAUACUCUCUAGUGACCGAUAGUGAACCAGUACCGUGAGGGAAAGGUGAAAAGCACCCCGGAAGGGGAGUGAAAUAGAACCUGAAACCGUGUGCUUACAAGUAGUCAGAGCCCGUUAAUGGGUGAUGGCGUGCCUUUUGUAGAAUGAACCGGCGAGUUACGAUUUGAUGCAAGGUUAAGCAGUAAAUGUGGAGCCGUAGCGAAAGCGAGUCUGAAUAGGGCGUUUAGUAUUUGGUCGUAGACCCGAAACCAGGUGAUCUACCCUUGGUCAGGUUGAAGUUCAGGUAACACUGAAUGGAGGACCGAACCGACUUACGUUGAAAAGUGAGCGGAUGAACUGAGGGUAGCGGAGAAAUUCCAAUCGAACCUGGAGAUAGCUGGUUCUCUCCGAAAUAGCUUUAGGGCUAGCCUCAAGUGAUGAUUAUUGGAGGUAGAGCACUGUUUGGACGAGGGGCCCCUCUCGGGUUACCGAAUUCAGACAAACUCCGAAUGCCAAUUAAUUUAACUUGGGAGUCAGAACAUGGGUGAUAAGGUCCGUGUUCGAAAGGGAAACAGCCCAGACCACCAGCUAAGGUCCCAAAAUAUAUGUUAAGUGGAAAAGGAUGUGGCGUUGCCCAGACAACUAGGAUGUUGGCUUAGAAGCAGCCAUCAUUUAAAGAGUGCGUAAUAGCUCACUAGUCGAGUGACACUGCGCCGAAAAUGUACCGGGGCUAAACAUAUUACCGAAGCUGUGGAUUGUCCUUUGGACAAUGGUAGGAGAGCGUUCUAAGGGCGUUGAAGCAUGAUCGUAAGGACAUGUGGAGCGCUUAGAAGUGAGAAUGCCGGUGUGAGUAGCGAAAGACGGGUGAGAAUCCCGUCCACCGAUUGACUAAGGUUUCCAGAGGAAGGCUCGUCCGCUCUGGGUUAGUCGGGUCCUAAGCUGAGGCCGACAGGCGUAGGCGAUGGAUAACAGGUUGAUAUUCCUGUACCACCUAU